GACGAACGCUGGCGGCGUGCCUAAUACAUGCAAGUCGAGCGGACAGAUGGGAGCUUGCUCCCUGAAGUUAGCGGCGGACGGGUGAGUAACACGUGGGCAACCUGCCCUGCAGAUGGGGAUAACUCCGGGAAACCGGGGCUAAUACCGAAUAAUCAGUUUCUCCGCAUGGAGAAACUCUGAAAGACGGUUUCGGCUGUCACUGCAGGAUGGGCCCGCGGCGCAUUAGCUAGUUGGUGGGAUAACGGCCUACCAAGGCAACGAUGCGUAGCCGACCUGAGAGGGUGAUCGGCCACACUGGGAAUGAGACACGGCCCAGACUCCUACGGGAGGCAGCAGUAGGGAAUCUUCCACAAUGGACGAAAGUCUGAUGGAGCAACGCCGCGUGAGUGAAGAAGGUUUUCGGAUCGUAAAGCUCUGUUGUGAGGGAAGAACACGUACGGGAGUCACUGCCCGUACCUUGACGGUACCUCAUUAGAAAGCCACGGCUAACUACGUGC
Molecule: ribosomal RNA, 497 nt
Filed under: uncultured bacterium
Lineage: Bacteria
Description: bacterial SSU rRNA
Rfam family: Bacterial small subunit ribosomal RNA
Source: RNAcentral